AUGAAUAAAGGCAACAGUAGUAUACCGCUGUUCAAACUCAUAAAUCCAUGGACAAAAAAACAAAAUCGGGGUAACAAACUAAAACUGAGGGAAACGCAUAAAUAUAAGAGGAGAACAACGACACAACACUACAAUGUAACACACACAGAAACGGACCAAGCAUCAGACAAAAUCCCACGAGAAUAACAAAUAUAAGAUCAAAACCAAAUACAAGAAUUUGAGAGAGACAAGUACCGUGACACGUCUUAUCGCAAUGUCAAUUUACACUCAAAAAUAAGAGAAAACAAACGACGCAACGUUAAAUUGUUACACACACAGAAACGAACUAUAAUAUAACAAUGGCC
RNAcentral lists this long non-coding RNA (344 nucleotides) under Mytilus galloprovincialis (Mediterranean mussel). The record is from RNAcentral. Lineage: Eukaryota; Metazoa; Mollusca; Bivalvia; Mytilida; Mytilidae.